GUCGAACGGUAACAGGUCUUCGGAUGCUGACGAGUGGCGAACGGGUGAGUAAUACAUCGGAACGUGCCCGAUCGUGGGGGAUAACGAGGCGAAAGCUUUGCUAAUACCGCAUACGAUCUACGGAUGAAAGCGGGGGAUCUUCGGACCUCGCGCGGACGGAGCGGCCGAUGGCAGAUUAGGUAGUUGGUGGGAUAAAAGCUUACCAAGCCGACGAUCUGUAGCUGGUCUGAGAGGAUGAUCAGCCACACUGGGACUGAGACACGGCCCAGACUCCUACGGGAGGCAGCAGUGGGGAAUUUUGGACAAUGGGCGAAAGCCUGAUCCAGCCAUGCCGCGUGCAGGAUGAAGGCCUUCGGGUUGUAAACUGCUUUUGUACGGAACGAAAAGCCUCUUUCUAAUAAAGAGGGGUCAUGACGGUACCGUAAGAAUAAGCACCGGCUAACUACGUGCCAGCAGCCGCGGUAAUACGUAGGGUGCAAGCGUUAAUCGGAAUUACUGGGCGUAAAGCGUGCGCAGGCGGUUUUGUAAGACAGAGGUGAAAUCCCCGGGCUCAACCUGGGAACUGCCUUUGUGACUGCAAGGCUGGAGUGCGGCAGAGGGGGAUGGAAUUCCGCGUGUAGCAGUGAAAUGCGUAGAUAUGCGGAGGAACACCGAUGGCGAAGGCAAUCCCCUGGGCCUGCACUGACGCUCAUGCACGA
Molecule: ribosomal RNA, 698 nt
Filed under: uncultured beta proteobacterium
Lineage: Bacteria; Pseudomonadati; Pseudomonadota; Betaproteobacteria
Description: bacterial SSU rRNA
Rfam family: Bacterial small subunit ribosomal RNA
Source: RNAcentral